Molecule: ribosomal RNA, 490 nt
Filed under: uncultured bacterium
Lineage: Bacteria
Description: partial 16S ribosomal RNA
Rfam family: Bacterial small subunit ribosomal RNA
Source: RNAcentral
GAUGAACGCUAGCUACAGGCUUAACACAUGCAAGUCGCGGGGCAGCAUGGGGGUUGCUUGCAAUCCCCGAUGGCGACCGGCGCACGGGUGAGUAACGCGUAUCCAACCUGCCCUUCACAACGGGAUAACCCGGCGAAAGUCGGACUAAUACCGUAUGUUGUCCAUUGAAGGCAUCCGAUUGGGACGGAAGGGUUGGGGGUGGGGGGUGGGGAUGCGGACGAUUAGGUAGACGGCGGGGUAACGGCAGCCCGUGGGUAUGCUCGGUAGGGGUUCUGAGAGGAAGGUCCCCCACACUGGAACUGAGACACGGUCCAGACUGCUACGGGCGGCAGCAGUGCGGAAUAUUGGUCAAUGGGCGUAAGCCUGAACCUGCCAAGUAGCGUGCAGGAUGACGGCCCUAUGGGUUGUAAACUGCUUUUAUGCGGGGAUAAAGUGGCCCACGUGUGGGCUUUUGCAGGUACCGCAUGAAUAAGGACCGGCUAAUUCCGUG